This 353-nucleotide unclassified non-coding RNA is filed under the name soil metagenome. Its description in RNAcentral is "partial contains 5.8S ribosomal RNA, internal transcribed spacer 2, and large subunit ribosomal RNA". The stretch from base 1 to 121 matches the Rfam family "5.8S ribosomal RNA", at positions 35 to 154 of the family's 154-position model. The record is from RNAcentral.
GAUGAAGAACGUAGCGAAAUGCGAUAAGUAAUGCGAAUUGCAGAAUUUCCGUGAGUCAUCGAAUCUUUGAACGCACAUUGCGCCCAUUGGUAUUCCGAUGGGCAUGCCUGUUCGAGCGUCAUUAUCUUCCCUCAAACCUCGCGUUUGGUGUUGGGCCGUGCUGGUUCCUGCGUGACCAACUGGCCUCAAAGACAAUGACGGCGUCCGUGGGACCCUCGAUGCAACGAGCUUCUCAGGAGCACGCGUCGAGUUUCAAGGACCUUCCGGGCCGGUCUCUUCUCAUGUUAUUACAAGGUUGACCUCGGAUCAGGUAGGGAUACCCGCUGAACGUAAGCAUAUCAAUAAGCGGAGGA